CCCCUACAGCGCCACAGGGAAACAACAAGGACAAACGGUAAACGGACUGCAUUUAUACCGCGCCUUUCUAACUAGUGGCCACUCAGUGCUUUACAAUAUAGGCUAACAUUCACCCAUUCACACAGCGAUGGCAGGGUCAACCACGCAGGGCGACCGCCAGCUCCUCAGGAGCAGUCAGGGUGAGGCGUCUCGCCCAGGGACGCCUCCACACUCCUGAGCCACAUACCGCCCGAGAGAUGAGAUUAGAACCAACUCACGCAGCAGUGCAGAACGUUGCCGUUUCAAUUUCCACGAUUGACCACUGGGUGCUCUUAGCCCAAAGCCAUUUCAGCCUAGAUAUAUGAUGGAUAGAUCAGUCACACACAACACUAAGGGGGAUGGUGCUGAAAUGGGCCUCUAGAUAAGAAGGUCAGGUUAUGCAAAGGACUACAAUGACGAGCUUCAAAUCAGAAUACAGAGGCAAAAGUACAAGAAAGCAAGACAUCGGCGAUCACAACUGUCUCAAAAACACACCCUCUAAGCACUAUAACAACACGUGUGAAUGUUGUCACCAAUUACAUUUUUCCAUCACAGUAUGCUUGGUACCUUGCCAAGGAGGCAACGUUUGACUUCACUGUUGUAAGUAGGCAUUACAUUAAAUGAAAAAAGCUGACGAUUGAAAAGAUACGUUUAAAAUAAGAAGUGGAUUUUUGAAGGUUACAAUAUCGAAAAACUCAUACUUGUAUACAUAUUUUAUCAUUGUCAAUUCUUGGAAUAUCCCCUUACUUUAGAAAGACAUGCCUGUCCUCAGAAAAUGGUGGUGCACAGUACUGCUUGAGAACUUCCAUCUGGAUGGGCACGGCAGAAGGUUCCCACACUUCAUGGAGGAGGCCAAACAAAUGGCGGCUGAACUACUUCCAGUCUUCAGACUGAAGCGAAAAAGAGAAUGAGUUGAAGCUGAUGGCAGUCAGCAUGAAGAAGCUAUAUCUUUUGGCUUCUGUAGAUUAUUUGUUAAAUAAAUUGUGAAGAAACUUUGGUGUGGUUAUUCUUCAAUGUAUAUUUAUAUCAAAUUAUGAUGGUAUACUUUACAAAAAAAUUAAUGUGAUUCAAUCAGACAUAUUAAAACAAUUACUUAAUUCUAAUUACUUAAUUCUAAUGGUCAAUUACUCAAUGAGUAAAGUGUAUAAUACACAAUUCCAUUAAAUAAUUGUCUACACCCUAAAUCAGUUUUUUCGUCUAUAUAACGUUAAUAAAAUUAAGCUAUAAAAA
This is a long non-coding RNA of Gadus macrocephalus (Pacific cod), 1248 nucleotides long. RefSeq lists it as uncharacterized. The transcript is spliced from 3 exons. NCBI's taxonomy places the organism in Eukaryota, Metazoa, Chordata, Actinopteri, Gadiformes, Gadidae. The record is from RefSeq and is a predicted model, not a curated record.